UACGUAGGUGGCGAGCGUUGUCCGGAAUUACUGGGUGUAAAGGGCGUGUAGGCGGGGAUGUAAGUCAGAUGUGAAAUGCCAUGGCUUAACUGUGGAGCUGCAUCUGAAACUAUGUUUCUUGAGUGCUGGAGAGGAAAGCGGAAUUCCUAGUGUAGCGGUGAAAUGCGUAGAUAUUAGGAGGAACACCAGUGGCGAAGGCGGCUUUCUGGACAGUAACUGACGCUGAGGCGCGAAAGCGUGGGGAGCGAAC
This 250-nucleotide ribosomal RNA is filed under the name uncultured bacterium. Its description in RNAcentral is "partial 16S ribosomal RNA". It matches the Rfam family "Bacterial small subunit ribosomal RNA", at positions 524 to 773 of the family's 1533-position model. The record is from RNAcentral.